UCCAAUUCACAUGAUACUCAGCAAUAAGCCAAUUACUAUCAACUGUGUACAAGCCUUAUACAAAUACAACAGACUUUUACAUGAUGAUUUCACAAUGAUUAUUGUACUACACUAUUAAUUCAAUAACCAGGCAGAGACUCACAUGGAUUCAAUUGCUCCUUUUGAUUAUUAUACCUCCGCUGCUCGUCUUCUUCUUUUGUUCUGCUACCGCCUCCUUUCUUUUUCCCCAGUUACGUAUUAGGUAUAAUGCUCAAGUAAUUUAGGUCUAGCUAUUUAUUUAUUAAUUAAUAAAUCUUAUUAAUUCUCCUAAUUAUAAUUAGAUUUAUUAUUACCCACAUUUAAUUAAAUUAAACCCAAAUAACUUUUAAGGCCCAACUUGUACUAAAUUAAUUUACCCAUCUCUUAUGAAUAUUUAUUAG
This 419-nucleotide long non-coding RNA is filed under the name Panax ginseng (ginseng). RNAcentral's name for it is "long non-coding RNA (PGIN_LNC003984)". The record is from RNAcentral. Lineage: Eukaryota; Viridiplantae; Streptophyta; Magnoliopsida; Apiales; Araliaceae.